This 330-nucleotide ribosomal RNA is filed under the name uncultured bacterium. RNAcentral describes it as "bacterial SSU rRNA". It matches the Rfam family "Bacterial small subunit ribosomal RNA", at positions 568 to 898 of the family's 1533-position model. The record is from RNAcentral.
CGCGUAGGUGGUAGUGCAAGUCUGAGGUGGAAUCUUAGGGCUUAACCCUAAAACUGCCUUGGAAACUGUAUUACUUGAGUCAGUGAGGGGAGGGUAGAAUUCCCGGUGUAGCGGUGAAAUGCGUAGAUAUCGGGAGGAAGGCCGGUGGCGAAGGCGGCCCUCUGGCGCUGAACUGACACUGAGGCGCGAAAGCGUGGGUAGCAAACAGGAUUAGAUACCCUGGUAGUCCACGCCCUAAACGGUGGGUACUAGGUGUAGGGCUCGUAAGGGUUCUGUGCCGAAGCGAAAGCAUUAAGUACCCCGCCUGGGGAGUACGGCCGCAAGGUUGAA